RNAcentral lists this long non-coding RNA (243 nucleotides) under Fukomys damarensis (Damara mole-rat). Its description in RNAcentral is "lncRNA (ENSFDAG00000029333.1)". Lineage: Eukaryota; Metazoa; Chordata; Mammalia; Rodentia; Bathyergidae. The record is from RNAcentral.
UUGUGCCGGAGCUGAAUGCGAAUGCGGCCGAGGCGGAUUAGCCGUGCUUCCCCACGAACGCAGAAGAGUGCCCGAGUCUGGGGCGUUUGUCCCCGGGGGCGGGCUGCCCAUGACGCAAGGUCGCAUUCUGUAGCUGGUAUUUCUGCGACAGUGAUGUGGGAAGCCCUUACUUCUACAUUUUAUUUGAUCCGAUGCACUAUAAAAAUAUGGAGUCAUAAGGCUUCUCAGUGUAAUCAACGGUGA